AGAGUUUGAUCCUGGCUCAGGAUGAACGCUGGCGGCGUGCCUAACACAUGCAAGUCGAACGCCCCGCAAGGGGAGUGGCGCACGGGUGAGGAACACGUAGCUAACCUGCCUUCGAGAGGGGGAUAACGUCCCGAAAGGGAAGCUAAUACCCCAUAAGCUCACGAACAGUAGAGGUUCGUGAGAAAAGAUUCAUCGCUCGAAGAGGGGGCUGCGGCCCAUCAGGUAGUUGGUGGGGUAACGGCCUACCAAGCCAACGACGGGUCGGGGACCUGAGAGGGUGACCCCCCACACUGGGACUGAGACACGGCCCAGACUCCUACGGGAGGCAGCAGUGAGGGAUAUUGCACAAUGGGCGCAAGCCUGAUGCAGCGACGCCGCGUGAGUGAAGAAGGCCUUCGGGUCGUAAAGCUCUUCUCUGCGUGACGAGAAGGGACGGUAGCGCAGAAUAA
Molecule: ribosomal RNA, 449 nt
Filed under: uncultured Inquilinus sp.
Lineage: Bacteria; Pseudomonadati; Pseudomonadota; Alphaproteobacteria; Rhodospirillales; Rhodospirillaceae
Description: bacterial SSU rRNA
Rfam family: Bacterial small subunit ribosomal RNA
Source: RNAcentral